Molecule: long non-coding RNA, 2054 nt
Filed under: Lactuca sativa (garden lettuce)
Lineage: Eukaryota; Viridiplantae; Streptophyta; Magnoliopsida; Asterales; Asteraceae
Description: long non-coding RNA (LSAT_LNC001180)
Source: RNAcentral
AAAAUUUACAUAUUCAAAUCAUGAGUUUGAAACUUCUAAAAACGUUAUUCAAUCCCUCUUUAAAUUCAUAUAUUAGCAGGAUUUAGUAGAGGCUGAAGAUGUCAAGAGAGGGGAGGUGUUGAGAUCGAUUGACCAUUCAGAAGGUAAUCAAUCAAAUGCGAAGGUAUGACGUCACAAGUAUUUGAGAUUAAAACUUAUGAAACUGCAUGGCUGAAAAUUAAGCUUUGAAGAUUGAUGGAUGAUAUAGAAAGUUAAAGAAAGAAGAAAAAGAUUGAAUAGCACCUUGUUUUAAGGAUUUAUGAUUAAAAAUAUUUAUAUUUCUCGAUUUAUUUCUCCUCUAGAAAUCAAUAAACAUGAUGGUGUGUUGGAUGAAGGAUGCAAGAGAGACCUCCAUGUAAACACUCUUUCUUUCUUUUGAAGGCGUAUAGUAAAGCUUGAGGGUCAUUUUUCUAAUGAAAAGUAUAUUGAGUAUUUUAUGUAAUAAGUUAGAAAGUAGAAUAGUGAAAAUUUUGCAAUAUUUAGUAUUUUAGAAAACAUGUAUGUAAAUAGUAGUUUGCUUCAUGAUAAUAACAAUAAAUUUUUACUAAAUUAAUUUGAAUAUUAUGAUCUAUGAACACCUAUAAAUUAACAUAAAAUCUUUCAAUUAUUUGAAUACUCUUAUUUAUUUAUUUUUAAUAAUAAAAUAAUACUAUAUUACAAAACUAAAAAACAGAAAAAUAUAGAUAUUAUUAAAUAGCAUCUAUUGUCAUUGUCAAUUGUCACUCUCAAUAUGUAUAAUAUCCAUUUUAAACAAUUUUAAUUUCUUUUAUUAUCUUUUAGCUUUUGAUUUCAUUCACAAAUGUAUUGAAAAUCAUAAUAUUGAAUUUUAAUGAAUAAAUAGAUUAAUUUCAACAUGUUAUUUAAUAUAGAUUUUUGACAUGAGAUAUAUAUAUUUGAGACAUGAGAUAUAUAUUUGGGACUUAAGUGUAGGAAAUUUUGGUAAAAUAAGUUAAACAAUUUUGUAAGGAAAUUUUGGUAAUUUUAAUCCUUUAAUGGGAUUGCUAUAUGUGGCUUUUAUAAGUUCUUUAACUUAGAUGGUGUGUGAAAGCAUAACAACCACUUGAAGUGAAUAAAUAUCAAGGUUCUAAAAAGUUCGUCAUGGCUCCGUCAUGGCGCGCCACGACUCCAAGGCUUGCACUUGCCGCCAAGCUUUGCCAAAACGCCGCCUUAACUCAUAUAUGUGUAUAAAAAUGAAUAAUAGUUGAAAAUACAUAUAAAAAUAUUAAUUAUAUAAAAAAUUGCCGCCUUAAGUGACGCCUUACAAACGUCAUGACUCGCCAAGGCUCGGAAAAGCUUGAGGCUUGACAUUACCAUCAAGUCAUGCCUUACGUUAUUUAGAACCUUGAUAAAUACCAAGAGUAUAUAUCCUGACACCUUAUUUGUAAAUGAUUUUGGUAUAAACCCAUGCCAUAAGUAUAUUUAUUUGUUGGUUGACUCGAUUCCAGGCACUUGGAAUGGUUAAUACAUUGGUUUUGAUCGUGUCGUGUUUUUCUUAAAAUUGUUUUAGGAUUUGCUUAAUAUUUAGUGACCUUUGUGCUAUCUCUCAACUCUACUAGUUAAGUCAACGACAAAAAUAUUAGGUAAGUAGCAUUUUAUGAGGAGUAUCCACGCUAUAUAUAUUAAAGGUGGGUCACUUAGCCCACCUAUUUUUUAUAACAAAUUAUAUAAAAAUAUAACCAGUAAAUUACAUGAAUGGUCCCUAUGGUUUAGGAUAAUUUACACGUUUGGUUCUUAACUUAUUUUUUUAACUCGGAAGGUCCUUAUUGUUUGUUUUUGUUACACGAUUGGUCCUUACUGUUUGUUUUUGUUAUGCGCUUAAUCCUUGUCUUACCUAAAAAGACUAUUAUUUAAAUAGGGAAAAAUGAUGGGGUCCGUAAGGUAAGGUGAGAAGGAUGUGGUUGAGGGUGUGUUUAUUUAAAUAAAUUAAAAAAAAUCAAUGACAAAAUAGUCUUUUUAGGUAAGAUAGAGAUCAAGCGUGUAACAAAAACAAACAGUAAGGACCUUCCGAGUUUAAA